CCUACGGGGGGCAGCAGUGGGGAAUAUUGGACAAUGGGCGAAAGCCUGAUCCAGCCAUGCCGCGUGUGUGAAGAAGGCCUUCGGGUUGUAAAGCACUUUCAGUGGGGAAGAAAGCCUUGGGGCUAAUACCCUCGAGGAAGGACAUCACCCACAGAAGAAGCACCGGCUAACUCCGUGCCAGCAGCCGCGGUAAUACGGAGGGUGCGAGCGUUAAUCGGAAUUACUGGGCGUAAAGCGCGCGUAGGCGGUCUGAUAAGCCGGUUGUGAAAGCCCCGGGCUCAACCUGGGAACGGCAUCCGGAACUGUCAGGCUAGAGUGCAGGAGAGGAAGGUAGAAUUCCCGGUGUAGCGGUGAAAUGCGUAGAGAUCGGGAGGAAUACCAGUGGCGAAGGCGGCCUUCUGGACUGACACUGACGCUGAGGUGCGAAAGCGUGGGUAGCAAACAGGAUUAGAACCCUGGUAGUC
RNAcentral lists this ribosomal RNA (464 nucleotides) under Vreelandella stevensii. RNAcentral's name for it is "partial 16S ribosomal RNA". It matches the Rfam family "Bacterial small subunit ribosomal RNA", at positions 338 to 795 of the family's 1533-position model. The record is from RNAcentral. Lineage: Bacteria; Pseudomonadati; Pseudomonadota; Gammaproteobacteria; Oceanospirillales; Halomonadaceae.